Molecule: ribosomal RNA, 481 nt
Filed under: uncultured bacterium
Lineage: Bacteria
Description: SSU rRNA
Rfam family: Bacterial small subunit ribosomal RNA
Source: RNAcentral
AGAGUGAACGCUGGCGGCAGGCCUAACACAUGCAAGUCGAGCGGCAGCGCAGCAGUAGCAAUACUGUGGGCGGCGAGCGGCGGACGGGUGAGGAACACAUCGGAAUCUACCCUGUCGUGGGGGACAACGUAGGGAAACUUACGCUAAUACCGCAUACGACCUUCGGGUGAAAGUGGGGGACUCGCAAGAGCCUCACGCGAUUGGAUGAGCCGAUGUCCGAUUAGCUAGUUGGCGGGGUAAUGGCCCACCAAGGCGACGAUCGGUAGCUGGUCUGAGAGGACGACCAGCCACACUGGAACUGAGACACGGUCCAGACUCCUACGGGAGGCAGCAGUGGGGAAUAUUGGACAAUGGGGGCAACCCUGAUCCAGCCAUGCCGCGUGGGUGAAGAAGGCCUUCGGGUUGUAAAGCUCUUUUGUCGAGGGACGAUAAUGACGGUACCUGAAGAAUAAGCCCGGCAACUCGUGCCAGCAGCCGCGGU